GAGGCUGGAACAGCUCUGAGGGAUCAUCGAGUCCAAGCUGUGCCCAAUGCCCACCUCGUCCCCAGCCACCUCCAGUCCUUCCUUGGACACCUCCAGGGAUGGACACUCCAAACCUCCCUGGGCAGCUCCUUCUAAUGCCCGAGCACCCUUUCCAUGGAGAAAUCUUUCCUCAGAGUCCAGGGGCAGAGCUCAGUGAGGCUGUGCCCCCUGCCCACCUCUGGCCAGGACCCCCUGUCCUGCUUUGCGUCUCUAAGCCCAGGCCAAGACAAACAAAGGAAGGAAGUGUCUGGGACUUUUAAAGCGACCUAGUGGAGACAGCAGCAAUCCAGGCUCUGGUGGUCACCCAGCACUCAGGUGUGAGUGAUGCAGAAAGUCCAGGCCGCCUUUAUCCAGAGGAAUCAGUCGAUCCAAGCACCUCUACCAGAGUGAGG
This 431-nucleotide long non-coding RNA is filed under the name Taeniopygia guttata (zebra finch). Its description in RNAcentral is "lncRNA (ENSTGUG00000025104.1)". Lineage: Eukaryota; Metazoa; Chordata; Aves; Passeriformes; Estrildidae. The record is from RNAcentral.